RNAcentral lists this ribosomal RNA (164 nucleotides) under uncultured bacterium. RNAcentral's name for it is "partial 16S rRNA". It matches the Rfam family "Bacterial small subunit ribosomal RNA", at positions 355 to 511 of the family's 1533-position model. The record is from RNAcentral.
UAGGGAAUCUUCCACAAUGGGCGCAAGCCUGAUGGAGCAACACCGCGUGAGUGAAGAAGGGCUUCGGCUCGUAAAGCUCUGUUGUUGGAGAAGAACGUGCGUGAGAGUAACUGUUCACGCAGUGACGGUAUCCAACCAGAAAGUCACGGCUAACUACGUGCCAC